Molecule: long non-coding RNA, 1911 nt
Organism: Papaver somniferum (opium poppy)
Lineage: Eukaryota; Viridiplantae; Streptophyta; Magnoliopsida; Ranunculales; Papaveraceae
Exons: 12
Source: RefSeq, a predicted model, not a curated record
CUCCCCUUUCUUUUAUCUUUAUUUUUCGGUCCUCUUUCCCCUUGCUCAUCUGCUUCUCUCUUCAACUCUAUAGACCUGAAAUAACCUUAUUUCCCCUUUCUCAUAUCUUUGUCUCUUCAACUCUGCAAACCCGAAUAAAACUUUUCUUCCAUCACCUUCAUCAGUACCUUACGAAUUUUCUCUGCUCAAAAUCAAAGAAACCCUAGAAUUUAUAUAUUUUUUAUUUCUCAGUAACAAUUCAAAGUAGAUAUAAACACACAGAUCUGCAGUACAAUAGUUUGAAUCGAAGAGGAAACAAUAGAUCAGAAUCCUUCUUCAAUUUUUGUUUUUUGAUCCAUUUUCUCUUGUUACUAGUGUUCUCAAGUGUGAAAAGAAGAAAAUAUGUCUACCUGAUUUCGAUGGCCUUGCUGAUGUCUAUCUUUUAUUAAAUCUACCAUGGGAAGGGCUUGAAUAAUUGCUGAUAGAUUUAAUGUUGGUGGCGGAGUGUGUUGGUGGUGUUCGUGAUGCCGAUGGUGCUGUUAAUGGUAGUGUUUGGAGGUGUAUGUGUUGGCGUUGCUGCUACCAAAAGGUGGUGAUGGUAUCUUAAUAAUUACAUAAACAUUGAUGCAAGUGAUGAAUCUUGCAGAUGGGUUAUGUAAUUCUGGAUUUGUUGCUUUGAUUAUUGAGGUAAAUAUUGGUUUGUUUGUAACUGGCAGUAAGUGGAAGUACACUUUAGGAUGAUGAUGAUGAUAAGAAGGUGAUGUGAAAAUGAGAUUUCAUUUUUUGUUAGUUAUUUUAGCAGUGUAGAGUUUGCCUUAAUUGUUUAGUAUUGUGUUAGUGUUGAUUGGUUUUAUACAGAUUGUUGGUUAGUUGGUUUAUUUUUCAUUGUUGAUUACAGCUUAAGGCUGCUGGAUGUUCCUCAGAUGUAUCUUUUUUUCCAUUUUUGUUAUUCUUCCUCACAGUGCCUCAUAUAUGGUACAUGUAUCAAAACAGGUUGGCAUCGGGAUCAACUCAUUGGAGAUAUGACUACUCUGAAUCCCCUUGACUAGGUGGCAUCGAUCGGGAGCAACUUAUUGGAGAUAGACUACUCUGGACCCCUUUUUUCCACUGGAGUGUUGUUCUAGUUUUGGGAAGGACACAAAUAGGUGCUACCAUCUUGCAUUCCAUCUUUAAAAAAAGCCUUUGAAGCGUCAGCUCAUAUAGGCUGGCUCAAUUGAGGGCAUAAGUGGUGUACAUCAUUUGGAUGAGGCUCUGGAAGCGGAAAACCUCACCAUCAAAUGCCACAUAGAGGGGAAGGAGAUACAGUUAGUCAAUUUGUUCAUUACACAUUUACAACAACUGGAUCAGAUGGUGCCUUCAAUUUCACCUUUCACAAUCUGUCUUUAUGCUAUCCUUGUCAAUGGUAUCGAUGAUGUGAUAAUUACCAAUGGUAUCGAUGGUGCUACAAACUAAAGAUUCGAAGAGUUGGAUGAGCUUCAAGAUCGAGAAGUUGGAGAUUGGACUACUUAUGUUGUAAUUGUUGAUGCAUAAUUUGACAAGAGAGAAAAUAAGCAGGUCAGAAGUAAAAUAAUCCAACAUCUAUGAUCAGUGGGCACAAACUACAAAGUAACGUCCAAUUUUGUGAAUUCCCACUCAAUGCUUGUGUCAAGAUAGUUGGAUUUCCAUGGAUCAAAUUAUUAAAAAAACAUCUGAACAUCCUCGGUGUCAUCAGUACGUUGGAAUGCUUGUGAAAUGUGUACCAUUACGAAGCGUUGGGUUGGUUUGUUUCACCGCAUGUGUAUCAAGUGUGGGGGGUUAGUUGAACACCAUGCAGUUUAUCAUUUUACUGAAUUCAUUUUUGUAUGAUUUUGAAUCCAAGUUUAAACUGAAUUCAGUUAUAACUUGUGUAAUGAAAACAGUUAAUGAUUAAUGGAAAGGUCAUUUUGAAUCUGA